This is a long non-coding RNA of Daphnia magna, 629 nucleotides long. RefSeq lists it as uncharacterized. The record is from RefSeq and is a predicted model, not a curated record. Lineage: Eukaryota; Metazoa; Arthropoda; Branchiopoda; Diplostraca; Daphniidae. The transcript is spliced from 2 exons.
GAAAUGACUGACGGGGGUGAGGGGGAAGGAAGGGAACGGUGGAUAGGAUGAAAACAAAAAGUAAAUAAAAGAAAAAGGAAAGGACAGUCUAAUGCUUUGUCGGGAUUCACCAAAACGCCAUAGUUCCUCGUCCUCUCACGUCCACUCCAGGUGGGAAAUCCCACGUAUGUAUAGCUGGUCGACGAACCUUUGCUCUUCUUGCGUGCGUUUCUUUUUAUAACUUUUGACGGCGUCGAACUGGCGACGCACCAGGAAACAAGCCCCACACGCACGUGUCACUGUACAGCUAGUAAUUGGGUGUGGACAAAGCUGUCACAAAUCCCAACCUGCAGGUGUCGCAGUGCUUGAGGCACUAGCAGCAGAGGGAAAUCGCAGUCACAAUUAGAGACACAGACAGGAAUCAGGCUGACCAGGACACCAACCAACGUAGCACCAUUAAACCAACGAUGAGAUGUAUGAAGAAUCCAUGUGUCUUUGCUGGUUGACUGGCACUCGUGGAAUUGAAGGGGCGUACAGGCACUACUUGGUUGUUGUUGAGUCGACACACUGUGUACUGAGACCUUGAAAGCCCAAAAUCAACAAGGUUACAGUUUAAAAGAGGAUGUCAAUACAAAUGAAGUAUAAUGGCA